Molecule: ribosomal RNA, 942 nt
Filed under: Rhodofomes roseus
Lineage: Eukaryota; Fungi; Basidiomycota; Agaricomycetes; Polyporales; Fomitopsidaceae
Description: LSU rRNA
Rfam family: Eukaryotic large subunit ribosomal RNA
Source: RNAcentral
UAAGCAUAUCAAUAAGCGGAGGAAAAGAAACUAACAAGGAUUCCCCUAGUAACUGCGAGUGAAGCGGGAAAAGCUCAAAUUUAAAAUCUGGCGGUCUAUGGCCGUCCGAGUUGUAGUCUGGAGAAGUGCUUUCCGCGCUGGACCGUGUACAAGUCUCUUGGAACAGAGCGUCAUAGAGGGUGAGAAUCCCGUCUUUGACACGGACUACCAGUGCUUUGUGAUGCGCUCUCAAAGAGUCGAGUUGUUUGGGAAUGCAGCUCAAAAUGGGUGGUAAAUUCCAUCUAAAGCUAAAUAUUGGCGAGAGACCGAUAGCGAACAAGUACCGUGAGGGAAAGAUGAAAAGCACUUUGGAAAGAGAGUUAAACAGUACGUGAAAUUGCUGAAAGGGAAACGCUUGAAGUCAGUCGCGUUGGCCAGGACUCAGCCUUGCUUUUGCUUGGUGCAUUUUCUGGUUGACGGGCCAGCAUCGAUUUUGAUCGCCGGAAAAAGGCUGGGGGAAUGUGGCACCUUCGGGUGUGUUAUAGCCUUCAGUCACAUACGGCGGUUGGGAUCGAGGACCGCAGCACGCCUUUAUGGCCGGGGUUCGCCCACGUUCGUGCUUAGGAUGCUGGCGUAAUGGCUUUAAACGACCCGUCUUGAAACACGGACCAAGGAGUCUAACAUGCCUGCGAGUGUUUGGGUGGUAAACCCGAGCGCGUAAUGAAAGUGAAAGUUGAGAUCCUUAUCAUGAGGAGCAUCGACGCCCGGACCUGAACUUCGGUGAUGGAUCUGCGGUAGAGCAUGUAUGUUGGGACCCGAAAGAUGGUGAACUAUGCCUGAAUAGGGUGAAGCCAGAGGAAACUCUGGUGGAGGCUCGUAGCGAUUCUGACGUGCAAAUCGAUCGUCAAAUUUGGGUAUAGGGGCGAAAGACUAAUCGAACCAUCUAGUAGCUGGUUCCUGCCG